This is a transfer RNA of Fomitiporia mediterranea MF3/22, 73 nucleotides long. It matches the Rfam family "tRNA". Rfam says of the family: Transfer RNA (tRNA) molecules are approximately 80 nucleotides in length. Their secondary structure includes four short double-helical elements and three loops (D, anti-codon, and T loops). Lineage: Eukaryota; Fungi; Basidiomycota; Agaricomycetes; Hymenochaetales; Hymenochaetaceae. The record is from Rfam.
GGGCGUUUAGCUCAGUUGGUAGAGCGUGCGCUUCGCAUGCGCAAGGUCACGUGUUCGAAUCGCGUAUCGUCCA